RNAcentral lists this small RNA (716 nucleotides) under Pongo abelii (Sumatran orangutan). Its description in RNAcentral is "processed transcript". The record is from RNAcentral. Lineage: Eukaryota; Metazoa; Chordata; Mammalia; Primates; Hominidae.
CAGUGGAUGAGGUUAAGGGUUCCUGGGGUGGUUUAUUUGGUAUGUGAAGAGCCUAACUGUUGGCUGGCCCGUGGUGUUCUCCUGUGGUUCAUCAUGGAGGCUUCUGGGUCACAGAACCCACAUAUGAGAGGGCAUCGGGAUCUGGAUGAUGGGGUGGGAGAUGCUGGAUUGGUGGUUUGGUUCUCAGGUGGCUCCUAGAGGGGCCGCAGUAUGGAAACCACUGGCCUGCUCCUGCCUCUGAGAAAAUGAAGCUGGAGGAGAAGAUGUAAAGAUGUAUUUUUCCAAACUUGCGAUGUUUUAUACAGAAUCUUUCUUAGUGUUUCGCCAUAGUUAUUGAAGUGAGACUGGGCAUGAUUCAGAAAAGCUGGAAGAUCUAGAGAGGGAUCUUGCAAUCUGAAGUUUGUUUAGUCACUGGAGGACCACCGCCUACUUUAAGAGAGAACACAGACAAUUCACCUCCAUAAAGGCACAGCCAGGGAGAGGAGUAGGCAGAGGUGACAGCAGAUCAUGGGGCUUCUCUUGAAAGGAAGACACCUCCCAGUAACGAACCCUCAUCGUCCAUUUACUGACUUAUCCUUAUGUCACUAGGAUUUGAACGUCUAUGACACUCUUCCGAGCUGACACAGUGAAGAACAUGGAAGGAGAACUCACCCAGUCUGCCAGGGUCACAGAUGAUCAUACUCAAGAUCUUCCUGGGGAGUCAACGGCAAAUUUCA